AAUCCUCGCUUCCAAGGUGACGGCGUUGCGAAGUGAUCAGGUCCUGAGGGAGCAGCCUUCGACAGUGGGCCUAGCGCCUCUAAAAUCCGGACUCAAGGGAGCCCACUGGCCUCUUCCAUCAUGUGAGGGCACAGCAAGCAGGUGCCGAUCAUGAAGCAGACACCCAACUUGCCUCCAACCCUCAGAACUACGAGGCACUGAUGCCGAGACACAGUUCCUGAGCCCCUCCAGAGACACAUCAUCAAAGGGGAAUGUAAGGUCACAAAAUCAGUCACAACGCUGACCCAAGUACAGCGUGGCUUCUGCUGUGGUUCUGAGCAGGAUUUGCUUCUACCUUCUUUUGGACUACAGAUCAGGAAAUUAUCCUAGGAGAAGAAUACCAAAUCUUCUGGGAUCUACAGAACAACAAGCCAGUGAGUGUCUGCAGUGUUUCAGAGCCUGGGGACUGAAUACACGAGAUCAUCACUGGCUUCAGAGAUAGCUGUUUUUAUGAAGAGCUAUGCAGCCUAAUGAAGGUGCCCAAACCUAUGUGGAGCUGAGACUAGGAAGAGGCAUAUAAAGAGGUAAAUAUCACUCCAUCCUGGGAAGGGUGUGUUGUACCAUAAUUUCUAUUAAUACAAUAUAUCAUUGUGAUGCCUAAUUUUUUGUUGACUUGCCUGAGCCAUGUGCCCAUAUAUUUGAUCAAACAUCAUUCUGAACAUUUCUGUGAAGGUGUUUUUUUGAUGAGGUUAACAUUUAAAUCUCUGGGCCCUACAUAAAGCAGAUGACCUUUCCUGAGCCAACCAGUUGAAGGUACAGACAGAGCAAAGACUGACCUUUGAGCAAAACAAUUCUUGCAUGCUGCCUGUAGACAUGUCUGCAAUUCUUCUCACAUCUCCUGCCUGGGGGCCCAUCCUACAAAUUCUGAAUUCGACAAGCCUCUCUGAUCACGUGAGCCAAUUUUAGAAGUAAAUCUUUCUACACACACACACACACACACACACACACAGAGACACUCACACACUCAGCGCAGGAAUAAAUGAGCCUUCCUGUCCUCACAUGAAAUUAAAACCAGCUCACUGACCUAGUGGACAAGUACUUUCCAGAAGAUGCCUGAUUGUCUCUAGAUUUGAAGUUCAGGGUUCAAGAUAGAAGGUGGUGAUCUCUGUUAGAUUGUAAUUGUUUUCUUCUUUCUGAUGGGAGCAAGACAGGACUCAGUCUGCCUCCCAUCCCCUUGAGAUAACUUUCAUUUGUUUGGACAAUAUGGAGUAAUUUUUUUUUAACAUAACAAAUGUUUCCUGAAACCUCAUAGCUCAUUUUCAUGAAUUUUAUGAAUAAUUCUGUAAUACGGUAAUUUAAAAAACAUUAAAUUCUGGAUCCCUGCCCACACCCAGCCUGGGCUUACAGAGGUUGUGCUAAGAAGAAUUUCGAGGGAGGCAGGGAUUGGAUACAGAGAUUUGUCCUAUUUUGUGGUGACUAAGAAGAAAGCAAAGUUUGAAUGUCACGAUUCUCUCAGGAAGUGCUCAGUGGUGCUGGGGGUCAAUCUCACACCAGAUCAGUGAGGUACAAGGGGCAGUGGAACACCUGUCUCCUAAUUGUUAGCCCUGGCUCAUCAUGGCACUUAAAUCCCAAAUACACAUCCAAGGAGAUGUGGGGAAAACAAGACUGAAGGUGAGAGAAGCCGUUUGAAAUGACAAGGGCUUUUACUGAGUAAACACUCGCUGUAUAAAAUAGCAGCACACACGUUAGAAAAAAGAUCUGUUGAAAGAAAAAUCUUUCAAGUGAACUGGGAAUUAUUUGAAAGAAUGAAAGCCACAACUAUGUUAGUAACCUCUUGCAGAGUUUUGGGGAUAAGGGAAAAAAAUCCAACGUUGUAUAACUUUGAACUGUUUCUUUUCUGUAACUGCGGCAAAGGUCUAGUAAAAUAUUUUCUAACAUUUUAUGUUGUAGUAGUUACUUGGGAUUAUUCUUGAGAAGAAAAUGUCCUUCUUACAGUUUUAAGUAUUUAUUUUUAUAAACAAUCUCUGUAUACAUAUAUGCACACACAUAUAAAAAAUUUGAUAAAAAUGACCACGGCUUUCAGGUUAAAAUGUUAACUACAAAUGGGCUAAUCAAUGUAAUGACAGUUUCUUUCCAUGAUACAUAUUGUCUUUUUUAUUUUUAAAAAAUACUAAGUUCAUAAGCUGUAUGAUUUCCAAGUUGUUCCAGCAUCACUCCCAUUCUGCUCCAUAAACUUUCAUUGCCAUUGCCGAUUUUCCGUAGUCAUGGCUAUUAACUCACGUUGGAUACAAAUUUCCAGAAGAUGUUGAGGGCCUUGAAAGCCAAUCUCAUGAAAUAUGACUCUUCAGGUUCUUCUUGGAUCUCUGGCAAUGAAUUCCCUGCCAAGAACACCCCGUCACCCCCACAACACACACAUACACAUACAAACUUACACACACACACACAGUGUCCUCUAAUUAAAGGCAAACCCGUCUAGGUGUCUGGGGGAGAAAGUAAAGACAGCCGCUUUGCUGGGACAGGUGCAUGAGGUCUUGCUGAUUGGAGCCUUUGCCUUUCUCUCUGGCCCAGCCGGAAAUCUCCUAUUGCACAUCUGGAGACUCUUCCUGGCAACUGGCAAAUCUGGUUGGCCUGCUGCUUUGUAUUUUCUGUUGGUUGUGUUUCUCGUCUUCUCCCCUGUAGAUAUAAUAUGUGCAGUGCUGAGACUCCCAGAUGGGGAGAAGAAAUGGGAUUUUUGUACCCACGUGUGGGGAUCAUUAAUUUCACCCAGUUGCAAAGAGAAGACUGGAGGUUUCGCUUUCCCUUUCACAGUGGAUACUGUCCGAGUGCUGGGCCAUCUUCUCUUGUGUAUUUGAAAACGAAUCUUCUUAUUAAUUCCAUUCUUAGAAGACAUAAUCAGGAGUCUGAAAACACUAAAUUAUGUGUGUGGAAAAGGCACUUAUUUCAGAAAUAAAAAGAUAAAAGAAUACAUGUAUUCCUUUGAAAAAUGGAGACCAAAACAAGAUCAAAUGUCUUGAUAUUUAGCUUUUAGGUGUCUGAAGGUUGUGUUUGAAUUGAAAGUGCUAGGAUUUUUUAUAUUUAAAUGUUAGUAUUAAUACAAUGUUAGUGCAAUAGAUCUUUUUAGUUUCUAAUUGGCCUCCUUUGUUUUUCAGAUAAACAGGCCCAUGGCAGAUAAGUGUCAUAUUAAAGUCCCAUAUCACAGACCAUCUCUAACUUUUGCUUAUUUUAAAAAAUCCUCCUCUCUGUAAAUGUGUGGCUGAAGACAGUACUCACGAGUAUUCUGUGCACCAUGCCUCUACCCAGAAGCACUUGGACCAUGCCUAGCAGCAAUCGACCAGGGUGCUCAAAGCCAUCAGCAGGUUAGUCUUGGUACUGGUUCUGGUUACACAGCCUGCAGUCCGACUCUCCUGCCAUGCUGGAUUUCUGUGAGCAGGGUGGGCUGGCCACUGGGUGCACCACUUGGUCUGGAAGGGAGAACUUGCUGUAGGGACUGGAGUCAGCCCAAGGCUUCCAGGGUGCAGACCUUUUGGGAUCUCCUGCCAGCUGAGAGCAGAGGUUGUUCUCCUCUCAAGCAGCUUCCAGUCAGUAACUGAGCACCAUGUGGCUAACAGGGCCAGGACUCUUCCAUCCAGCACAGGACUCCUGACCGAGGGCUCUGUACUACAGGCCUGGCUGGGCUGGCCAUGGCGCUCAGAGAUGUAUUGCAGUUUCGUCUUCCUCCUUCCUACUCUACCUUCAUAAGCGCAAGACUUGUAGGCUUUCCUUGCAUAGCCUUGUUCCUUUUUCCCUUUAUCCUUCACAGGCGUUAUUCCCAAUGAACAACAGGAAUUUCUAAAUCUUUCUUAGUUACCACUUCUUGGAUAGUCCAAACUGUCAUAAUGAGAUAAUAUUCUUUAAAUACAUCACCUCCCACUAUAAUCCAUUGCUGUAAUUGAACACCCUCAGAGAAUGCUGAUUGAAUAACUUUGCCCUUCCCUCCUCUACAGCUUCUAGGUGAGACUUCACAGCCAUAUUCAUGCUAAGUAAUCUUGAGUCAGUUAUAUACAGACACUCAAUUCAAGCCAAGUUAAUCAGGGAAUGUUCCUCAAAUUUAAACUAAGAAUUACUGAAACAACAGUAACUGGAAGCCUUGUUUAAAAUGUAGUUAUGACAAAACAGACAAUAUGGGCCCUAGAGAGGAAGCCAGUCUGUUGUAAAUAUGGAGAAAUGAGCAAAGAUGAAAACCAUAGGUCACCACUUUGGAAGGUAAUGUGGCAAGUUCUUAAAAAAAUGAACAUACUCCUAUUGUGUGAGACAUAAUUUUCAUGUAGCCAAACGAUUUGAAAGCCACAAGAACAUGGACAUGAAAUGUGAUAGCAACUUUAAUCAAAUGUGCCAAAAUUUGGAAACAACCAACAUGUUCUUCAGUAGGUGACAGAAUCACUAAACAGUGGACUAUUCAGCACUAAAAUGGAACAAGGCAUUGUCUUACUGUGUUUUGUGUUGAUACCAGAAACUACCUAAUUUAGAAAGAAAAGAAAUUUAUGUCUCACAAUGUUGGAGACUGGGAAGUCCUCUAUCAAGGUACUGAUGGUGAGGCCCCUGACCCUGAGUUAUCCCAUGGUGGAACUCAGAAGGGCAGGAGAGCAGAAGGUGCUGAACUUGCUUUUACGAUAAGCCCACUCUCUCAACAACGAACCCAUUAACCCAUUCAAGACGUCAGAGCCCCCUGAUCUAAUCACCUGUUUUUAGGUACCAUCUCCCAACACCACAGGGUUUCCAAUACAUGAACUCCGGGGAACACAUUUAAAUGAUAAGAGCUAUCAAGGAAUAGAGAACAUGUAAAGGCAUAUUAUUAAAUGAAAGAAGCCAAUUCGAAUACGCUACAUUCUGUGUGAUUCCAGUUAUAUGACUUUCCAGGAAGGGUCAAUCUUGGACAUAGUAUAAAGAUGAGUGGUUUCCAGGGGUUGCAGAGCACAGAGCACUUUCAGGGCUGUGGAAAUACUCUGUGUGAUACCAUCAUAGUCAAUGCAAGUCUUUACAAGACCAAGAACGUAUGAGACCAGGAGUGAACCGUAAGGUAAACUGUGGACUUUAGGCCAUAAUGAAAUGUCACUGUGGUAACAAAUGUACACUCUGUAGAGAAUGUUGAUAAUGGGGGUGGCUAUACAUGUAUGCAGAAGGGGAGAAAUGGGAAAAUGUGGUGCCUUCAAAGCUCUCAAUUUUUCCUGUGAAACAAAAAGUGCUCUAAAAUAGUCUUUAAAAAAUAUAUAAAACAAAGAAAAUUGGCCACUUAAUGACGACAGCCAUCAUCCGUUGGUCCCAGAUCCCUGAAGUCUGGCUGCACACUUGAUAGUUGCACUCCAAGAAGACCCCUGUGUAUUAAAUCCACUACUGUUGAAGCCAGUGAGAUCAUCAAACAGUUCCCGAGACAACCUCUCAGAAGCAUGGUUUUCCUACUUAUUCAUCUCAGACUUGAGCUGAACCUACUUCCUCAUAAGAUACUACUGAAAGAGAACUACAGUAAUAUCAAACUGAUACCAUUUUGUUCUUAUCCCACUUGCCGGUAUCCUAUAAAGGGUGACAUUUAACAACUGGGACAAAGGGUUUUGGACAGCAUAAUGCUAAUAUGUUUUUUCCCCUCACUUUGUAUUUCUAGUCCAUGUCCUUGCAAAUCCAAGGUGCUUUGAUAUUUAUUUUUCUAAAACAUAAAAUGCAAGUGGGUGAGGUAAACUACAGAUUUUAAUUCAACAAAUGUUAACCAAGCACCUCUUAUAUGGCUAAGCAGUAUGUGGUGCUUAUGAAAAUAAUGAUUAUAUACAUAACCCAGUGCAUCAGUUUAAUAUAACAGCAGCAUUCAGUAGAAGUCACACACACAAGAAAUUAAAAGCAACAUAAUAUAAAGUAUAAAUUUAACUGCUGAAGAUAUCGCUGGCCCUUAACUAUUUCUGUUAAGUGUUAUGGGAGAAAAUGUGUCAGCUCUAAAUGUGCAGCAUUCAUCACAUUUCAGAUGUUUACCAAUAAACUAGUUGUCCUUUGAGUUUAAUACUUCAAAUGUGUCCUAUCUAGCAGCUAUGCUGACCUGUGAACUCCCAGUCAGAAGGCUGUGUUUCAUUUUGUAAUUCCCCAGAAUUAAUGCAGGGUUGGCGAUACUUACUAUGCUGGUAGAUGGACCCUUAGGACAUGAAGCAGGAAAUAUUCCAACAUUCUAGAGAUCUUUCUUUUGCUCCAAAAGAGUCUAAACUUCUUUUACUUUUUAUUUUCUCACUCAGUGUGAACCAGAUACUACAAAAAUCAAUAUUAAAAUGUACCAAAAAAUGUGGCUAUGAAAAUGUCAAAUACUUUAUUCAAAUUGAGACCCAAAGUUACAAAAAUUAUUUUAAUUAAACUGGACUGAAAAGAAGCCAAGCCAAAUAGAUUGUGUAAUUUAAAAGAUGAAAAACAUUCUGAAAUAUUUCUGAACUUAUUCACCGUCCAUUUAUUUAUAAAUGUUUAAAAUGCAUCUCUGAUUAACAGGUUUGAGUUUAGAACACUAAAUGUUGAGUUAGAGACUUGAAAUAAACCAGUUUUUCAAAAACAUAGCAAAUUUUAAACUAUUCUGAUGGGAUGAUUUGGGAACUGUACUUGUAAAAGCUACUCGAAGGGCAAACAUUAUUAGUUGACUUAUUCUAAUUUAACAAGGAUUUGCAUUCCCUGCAAUGUUUGAAACCCUCUGUUCUAAGGUCUCACCCUGAUACCCCCCAUCCCUUAUAACCUGGCAGGUGAAACACACCUUAUUUUACUUGCAAAACUGAGGAAACUCAGUAAGCCGUUCCCAGUGUCUGCUUCCCAGUACCUCCGUCUCAUCUCAUAGCCCGUUUUUUACCUCAGAACAAGGGGAGGCUCUUGUCACACUGCAAGGGCAACUCGCUCCCUGUGCUUGGCCCACCCUUCUCUUCAGGACUCUGCUACGGAAACCACUGACUCUUUUCCUGUGCCUUCCAUUUUGUUUUCGGAUGUUCUAUUCCAUCCACAAAAGGAGCAGACAAAAAAAAACUUGCUCUGUAACCUCUCUGUGCAUGUGGACUCCUUAACCCACCACCUCUCAUUCUCUUUUCUCCCUUUUCACAUUUCUUGAUAUAAGUAGAGCUGUUCAUGAAAGGCUGACAUUCUUUCCUAGCUCUUUCUAAUCCCACAGCAUCCGAAAACCACUGGGGCAUCCACUGCUGCUCGGACUUUGAUGAGCCACUCCCUACCAAACUGCUACUUUAAAGUCCUUAGUGUCACCACCUCCCCAAGACCUGUGAUCCUUGGACACUAGUCCUCAGUUUGCC
This is a non-coding RNA of Heterocephalus glaber (naked mole-rat), 7268 nucleotides long. The record is from RefSeq and is a predicted model, not a curated record. NCBI's taxonomy places the organism in Eukaryota, Metazoa, Chordata, Mammalia, Rodentia, Bathyergidae.